Molecule: ribosomal RNA, 2027 nt
Filed under: Escherichia coli
Lineage: Bacteria; Pseudomonadati; Pseudomonadota; Gammaproteobacteria; Enterobacterales; Enterobacteriaceae
Description: partial 23S ribosomal RNA
Rfam family: Bacterial large subunit ribosomal RNA
Source: RNAcentral
UGUUUCGGCAAGGGGGUCAUCCCGACUUACCAACCCGAUGCAAACUGCGAAUACCGGAGAAUGUUAUCACGGGAGACACACGGCGGGUGCUAACGUCCGUCGUGAAGAGGGAAACAACCCAGACCGCCAGCUAAGGUCCCAAAGUCAUGGUUAAGUGGGAAACGAUGUGGGAAGGCCCAGACAGCCAGGAUGUUGGCUUAGAAGCAGCCAUCAUUUAAAGAAAGCGUAAUAGCUCACUGGUCGAGUCGGCCUGCGCGGAAGAUGUAACGGGGCUAAACCAUGCACCGAAGCUGCGGCAGCGACGCUUAUGCGUUGUUGGGUAGGGGAGCGUUCUGUAAGCCUGUGAAGGUGUACUGUGAGGUAUGCUGGAGGUAUCAGAAGUGCGAAUGCUGACAUAAGUAACGAUAAAGCGGGUGAAAAGCCCGCUCGCCGGAAGACCAAGGGUUCCUGUCCAACGUUAAUCGGGGCAGGGUGAGUCGACCCCUAAGGCGAGGCCGAAAGGCGUAGUCGAUGGGAAACAGGUUAAUAUUCCUGUACUUGGUGUUACUGCGAAGGGGGGACGGAGAAGGCUAUGUUGGCCGGGCGACGGUUGUCCCGGUUUAAGCGUGUAGGCUGGUUUUCCAGGCAAAUCCGGAAAAUCAAGGCUGAGGCGUGAUGACGAGGCACUACGGUGCUGAAGCAACAAAUGCCCUGCUUCCAGGAAAAGCCUCUAAGCAUCAGGUAACAUCAAAUCGUACCCCAAACCGACACAGGUGGUCAGGUAGAGAAUACCAAGGCGCUUGAGAGAACUCGGGUGAAGGAACUAGGCAAAAUGGUGCCGUAACUUCGGGAGAAGGCACGCUGAUAUGUAGGUGAAGCGACUUGCUCGUGGAGCUGAAAUCAGUCGAAGAUACCAGCUGGCUGCAACUGUUUAUUAAAAACACAGCACUGUGCAAACACGAAAGUGGACGUAUACGGUGUGACGCCUGCCCGGUGCCGGAAGGUUAAUUGAUGGGGUCAGCGCAAGCGAAGCUCUUGAUCGAAGCCCCGGUAAACGGCGGCCGUAACUAUAACGGUCCUAAGGUAGCGAAAUUCCUUGUCGGGUAAGUUCCGACCUGCACGAAUGGCGUAAUGAUGGCCAGGCUGUCUCCACCCGAGACUCAGUGAAAUUGAACUCGCUGUGAAGAUGCAGUGUACCCGCGGCAAGACGGAAAGACCCCGUGAACCUUUACUAUAGCUUGACACUGAACAUUGAGCCUUGAUGUGUAGGAUAGGUGGGAGGCUUUGAAGUGUGGACGCCAGUCUGCAUGGAGCCGACCUUGAAAUACCACCCUUUAAUGUUUGAUGUUCUAACGUUGACCCGUAAUCCGGGUUGCGGACAGUGUCUGGUGGGUAGUUUGACUGGGGCGGUCUCCUCCUAAAGAGUAACGGAGGAGCACGAAGGUUGGCUAAUCCUGGUCGGACAUCAGGAGGUUAGUGCAAUGGCAUAAGCCAGCUUGACUGCGAGCGUGACGGCGCGAGCAGGUGCGAAAGCAGGUCAUAGUGAUCCGGUGGUUCUGAAUGGAAGGGCCAUCGCUCAACGGAUAAAAGGUACUCCGGGGAUAACAGGCUGAUACCGCCCAAGAGUUCAUAUCGACGGCGGUGUUUGGCACCUCGAUGUCGGCUCAUCACAUCCUGGGGCUGAAGUAGGUCCCAAGGGUAUGGCUGUUCGCCAUUUAAAGUGGUACGCGAGCUGGGUUUAGAACGUCGUGAGACAGUUCGGUCCCUAUCUGCCGUGGGCGCUGGAGAACUGAGGGGGGCUGCUCCUAGUACGAGAGGACCGGAGUGGACGCAUCACUGGUGUUCGGGUUGUCAUGCCAAUGGCACUGCCCGGUAGCUAAAUGCGGAAGAGAUAAGUGCUGAAAGCAUCUAAGCACGAAACUUGCCCCGAGAUGAGUUCUCCCUGACUCCUUGAGAGUCCUGAAGGAACGUUGAAGACGACGACGUUGAUAGGCCGGGUGUGUAAGCGCAGCGAUGCGUUGAGCUAACCGGUACUAAUGAACCGUGAG